GAUGAGCUAACUGGCCAAUAACUCCAUUUUGGUCCUUGCAACCACGGACCAAAAUGCUUAAGCCGGAGGUUACGUAGUACACUCAUCAGGCCCUUAUAAGCUAAUCACACACAUUCCCCACUUCCGAUGUGGGACUAAUGGGAUAUUACACUAUCCCCAACCCAAUUAGCUUACACUAUCCCCAACCCAAUUAGCUUGACGUCCUCGUCAAGGCCUGACAUAUCCCAGAUCGAACCCUAGCAUAGUGCAUGUGAGGUUUAACUCAGUGGUGGCUCCACGCCGUGACGAGUUCUCUGACUCCAUCCACGGGUAGCCCUCUCACCCUGCCCUAAUGCUAGGUCGGCUCUGAUACCAAAUGUCACGACCCGGGUCUGAUGAGCUAACUGGCCGAUAACUCCAUUUUGGUCCUUGCAACCACGGACCAAAAU
This 428-nucleotide long non-coding RNA is filed under the name Musa acuminata (dwarf banana). RNAcentral's name for it is "long non-coding RNA (MACU_LNC004633)". Lineage: Eukaryota; Viridiplantae; Streptophyta; Magnoliopsida; Zingiberales; Musaceae. The record is from RNAcentral.